RNAcentral lists this ribosomal RNA (301 nucleotides) under uncultured bacterium. Its description in RNAcentral is "partial 16S ribosomal RNA". It matches the Rfam family "Bacterial small subunit ribosomal RNA", at positions 509 to 807 of the family's 1533-position model. The record is from RNAcentral.
CAGCAGCCGCGGUAAUACAGAGGGUGCAAGCGUUAAUCGGAUUUACUGGGCGUAAAGCGUGCGUAGGCGGCUUUUUAAGUCGGAUGUGAAAUCCCUGAGCUUAACUUAGGAAUUGCAUUCGAUACUGGGAAGCUAGAGUAUGGGAGAGGAUGGUAGAAUUCCAGGUGUAGCGGUGAAAUGCGUAGAGAUCUGGAGGAAUACCGAUGGCGAAGGCAGCCAUCUGGCCUAAUACUGACGCUGAGGUACGAAAGCAUGGGGAGCAAACAGGAUUAGAUACCCGAGUAGUCCCUGUCUCUUAUAC